This 692-nucleotide unclassified non-coding RNA is filed under the name Hevea brasiliensis (rubber tree). Lineage: Eukaryota; Viridiplantae; Streptophyta; Magnoliopsida; Malpighiales; Euphorbiaceae. The record is from RNAcentral.
UGUUCUCUUGAUGAUUGAAAAUCCUGCAAGGGCCAAUGGUCAUAUUUUUAAUGUGGGCAAUCCUAACAAUGAAGUUACUGUGCGACAGCUAGCUGAAAUGAUGACCAAGGUCUAUUCGAAGGUGAGUGGAGAAUCUUCUCUUGAAACGCCUACCAUUGAUAUAAGUUCGAAAGAAUUUUAUGGAGAAGGGUAUGAUGACAGUGACAAGAGAAUUCCGGAUAUGACUAUAAUCAACAAACAGCUUGCUUGGAACCCGAAAACCUCCCUAUGGGACUUGCUUGAAUCAACACUCACCUACCAACACAGGACAUAUGCUGAGGCUAUCAAGCAGGCCAUGUCAAAGUCAACUGCAAAUUGAGGGAAGGUGGAGCAGUUGCUCAUAUACGUUUAACUUCUUUUUGCCACUCACACUUUGAAAAUCUAUAAUAGCUGAUGGUUGUAAGCAUCAUGUAUCCUAUUUUGUAAGUCGUGACAUCAGUCAUUAGGGAAUUGUGUCAUAGGUUGAUGUAAUUUUGUUACUAGAGAGACUUGCCAACAACAGUUAUCAGGCACUAAAAUGAAGGAAAGCCUGUAGUAAUGUCCUUUUAGUAUUUUGUUGUUCAUUCUUUUGAUUCUUCUGUAUGAGAAAGCAUCUUGUAUAAUUUUUUAGACCUGCUGUCUCCGGUAGUCAUUUGUUCAUCUGUAUCAGAUUG